UACGUAGGUGGCAAGCGUUGUCCGGAUUUCCUGGGCGUAAAGCGCGCGCAGGCGGUCGUUCAAGUCGCGUGUGAAAGCCCCCGGCUCAACUGGGGAGGGUCACGCGAUACUGAUCGACUCGAAGGCAGGAGAGGGUAGUGGAAUUCCCGGUGUAGUGGUGAAAUGCGUAGAUAUCGGGAGGAACACCAGUGGCGAAGGCGACUACCUGGCCUGUUCUUGACGCUGAGGCGCGAAAGCUAGGGGAGCAAACGGG
Molecule: ribosomal RNA, 253 nt
Filed under: uncultured bacterium
Lineage: Bacteria
Description: partial 16S ribosomal RNA
Rfam family: Bacterial small subunit ribosomal RNA
Source: RNAcentral